GUUUUUAUAGUUUAAAAAAAAACAUUGAUCUUGUAAAUCAAAGAUAAUACAUAUAUAUAUAUUAUUUAAAAACU
Molecule: transfer RNA, 74 nt
Filed under: Aporia hastata
Lineage: Eukaryota; Metazoa; Arthropoda; Insecta; Lepidoptera; Pieridae
Description: tRNA-Thr
Source: RNAcentral